GGCGCCAAGCUACUGAGAGCAGUGAUCCGGAUUUAGUGGCCCGUUUAGGUGCUGCCGUUUUUCAGCCGGUUGACGUCACGCCGGCGGUGUUGGGUAGAUCCAGCAGUAUACGUGGCCACUAUCUGCGAAAUGCGUUGUGAACACAGUUGGCAGUAAAGAGAGAACGUUACACCACGAAAGCAGAGACUGCUCAUGAGGGGACCGUGAGCAGAAUAGCAAUGCCUUGGCGG
This is a long non-coding RNA of Schistocerca gregaria, 230 nucleotides long. RefSeq lists it as uncharacterized. The transcript has 3 exons. Lineage: Eukaryota; Metazoa; Arthropoda; Insecta; Orthoptera; Acrididae. The record is from RefSeq and is a predicted model, not a curated record.